RNAcentral lists this ribosomal RNA (880 nucleotides) under Lactiplantibacillus plantarum. Its description in RNAcentral is "bacterial SSU rRNA". It matches the Rfam family "Bacterial small subunit ribosomal RNA", at positions 550 to 1431 of the family's 1533-position model. The record is from RNAcentral. Lineage: Bacteria; Bacillati; Bacillota; Bacilli; Lactobacillales; Lactobacillaceae.
UUUAUUGGGCGUAAGCGAGCGCAGGCGGUUUUUUAAGUCUGAUGUGAAAGCCUUCGGCUCAMCCGAAGAAGUGCAUCGGAAACUGGGAAACUUGAGUGCAGAAGAGGACAGUGGAACUCCAUGUGUAGCGGUGAAAUGCGUAGAUAUAUGGAAGAACACCAGUGGCGAAGGCGGCUGUCUGGUCUGUAACUGACGCUGAGGCUCGAAAGUAUGGGUAGCAAACAGGAUUAGAUACCCUGGUAGUCCAUACCGUAAACGAUGAAUGCUAAGUGUUGGAGGGUUUCCGCCCUUCAGUGCUGCAGCUAACGCAUUAAGCAUUCCGCCUGGGGAGUACGGCCGCAAGGCUGAAACUCAAAGGAAUUGACGGGGGCCCGCACAAGCGGUGGAGCAUGUGGUUUAAUUCGAAGCUACGCGAAGAACCUUACCAGGUCUUGACAUACUAUGCAAAUCUAAGAGAUUAGACGUUCCCUUCGGGGACAUGGAUACAGGUGGUGCAUGGUUGUCGUCAGCUCGUGUCGUGAGAUGUUGGGUUAAGUCCCGCAACGAGCGCAACCCUUAUUAUCAGUUGCCAGCAUUAAGUUGGGCACUCUGGUGAGACUGCCGGUGACAAACCGGAGGAAGGUGGGGAUGACGUCAAAUCAUCAUGCCCCUUAUGACCUGGGCUACACACGUGCUACAAUGGAUGGUACAACGAGUUGCGAACUCGCGAGAGUAAGCUAAUCUCUUAAAGCCAUUCUCAGUUCGGAUUGUAGGCUGCAACUCGCCUACAUGAAGUCGGAAUCGCUAGUAAUCGCGGAUCAGCAUGCCGCGGUGAAUACGUUCCCGGGCCUUGUACACACCGCCCGUCACACCAUGAGAGUUUGUAACACCCAAAGUCGGU